This 240-nucleotide unclassified non-coding RNA is filed under the name soil metagenome. RNAcentral describes it as "partial contains 5.8S ribosomal RNA, internal transcribed spacer 2, and large subunit ribosomal RNA". The record is from RNAcentral.
AACGCACGAGACCUGCGGACCUGCGGAAGGAUCAUUACAGAGUUUUCUAAACUCCCAAACCCAUGUGAACUUACCAUUGUUGCCUCGGCGGAGCCUACCCUGUAGCUACCCUAUAAGGUGGUUACCCUGUAGCGCCCCGCCGGUGGAUUUUCAAACUCUUGUUAUUUAUAGUAAUCUGAGAGUCUUAUUUUAAAUAAGUCAAAACUUUCAACAACGGAUCUCUAGAUCGGAAGAGCACAC